GUGGCCACCGAUCCAACCGAACACGAACCGGUCAACUGCGCCAGUCCUCACUCAGCUCACUCUGCUCUCUUCUCUCGAACUCUCCACACCCUUGACAACACCAUCGACCCUCGUCAGAUCCAGCGAGCCGGAGGAGAACUCCAGGCCGAACUCCCACACCGUCAGAUGCCGGCCACGGCGAAUGGCGGCGCGCGGGCGGAGUAGGCAGCAGCCCGCGUCUUCCUUCCCAUGGAGACGAGGCCGGCGCAGCUGUCGGCGAGUCCGACGGACAUGAAGAGGGCGGUGCGCGAGCGGAUGAGGCAGCAGCAGCCGGGCCUUCCCACAUGGAGACGAAGCCGGAGGAGCUCCCGCGGCGCUGACGGACGGGAGGGGGAGGGAGCCGUGGAGCAGAGGAGGCAGCAGCCGCGCCUUCCCCCAUGGGAACGAGGCCGGAGGAGCUCUUGGCGAUUGCUGUACCAAUUGUUGUGCGCGUACAAGAUGAACAAGCUUACCCGACAUCGCGAGACCAGCUGCAAAAGAAAAUCAGGUGAGUUAGUUGCGUAUAGCUGGCUCCGUUCAGCAAAGACCAGCUGAGGAGAAAUCACAGGUCGUGGCCGGAGCCACAGGUGUGCAUCAGGGGAAAUCCAUCCGUUACGUGGCGACUCCAUGAGUUUGGUUUCGCCAGUGAUGAAGUUGUACCUGUACAAGCGAUGUAAAAAGACAAAGUAGACACAUCCACCGUCCAUGUCUAGCUGGGUGGAGUCUGCAGCGAAGCUCGUGGGGAACCCAAGGUACAGGACAUGAUCACCCAAACUCCGGCCAUCUCUCACCACCCAUCGCAUCUUGACCUUGCCACCGUCCACUUCUUCUUCCGCUUCAUGCACCAUCACCGCUAGCGUUGGUACCACGGGGUCAUUGGUGGACAAGGUGUCCAUGUUUUUAUGGUGCCAUUCAUGCUCGAGUAAGACGGACGCCCACAACAGCUUGCCGCGGGACUCGAAGACGUAGUUGUAAUAGCGCAUGUAACGUUUGUGCUCGGGUCUAUCCUCCGUCAUCUCGAGCCUGAUGCCGUCUAUGUCACCACCAUUGUUUGCUAAAUUCUGUGUCAUGAAGCAGUAGAAGUGUCUCCGCGUCCACACAAAGACCUUGCCAUCGUGAUAUGCGGCACAGUUGUUAUUCUA
Aegilops tauschii subsp. strangulata is the source of this 1160-nucleotide non-coding RNA. NCBI's taxonomy places the organism in Eukaryota, Viridiplantae, Streptophyta, Magnoliopsida, Poales, Poaceae. The record is from RefSeq and is a predicted model, not a curated record.